RNAcentral lists this ribosomal RNA (307 nucleotides) under uncultured bacterium. Its description in RNAcentral is "bacterial SSU rRNA". It matches the Rfam family "Bacterial small subunit ribosomal RNA", at positions 28 to 334 of the family's 1533-position model. The record is from RNAcentral.
GAUGAACGCUAGCGGCAGGCCUAAUACAUGCAAGUCGAACGAGAUUCUUUUCUUCGGGAGAGAUGAAAGUGGCGCACGGGUGCGUAACGCGUAUGCAACCUACCCUUUACUGGGGGAUAGCCCGGAGAAAUUCGGAUUAAUACCCCAUGGUAUCAUCAGAUGGCAUCUGAAGAUGAUUAAAGAUUUAUUGGUAAGGGAUGGGCAUGCGUGACAUUAGAUAGUUGGUGAGGUAACGGCUCACCAAGUCAACGAUGUCUAGGGGUUCUGAGAGGAUGAUCCCCCACACUGGUACUGAGAUACGGACCAG